AUGGCUAGACCCCGGGCGCCUCAAGGCCCGGAGGUUCCUCAGCCAUCUCACUUCGCCGCCUCCUGCCGGCCGCUCACGACCUCUCGCUCCGUCCCGGCGGCUCUGCUCCGCCCGGCGACAAUGGAGGGAGGGAGAGGGAAGAAAAAAGAAAAAGAAGCAAAAAAAACACGACGGCCACCACCAGCGCAAAUGGCGUGGAGCGCGCGCGCGGCCGGCCUAGCUCGGAGCGGAGUCACCAGACGAACUUGUCGGAGGAGAUGCCGCGGAGGAGCGGGAGCGCGUCGCCGGCGGCCGCGCAGCAGCACGAGUAGGCGCCGCUCUUGA
RNAcentral lists this ribosomal RNA (324 nucleotides) under Triticum aestivum (bread wheat). RNAcentral's name for it is "partial small subunit ribosomal RNA". The record is from RNAcentral. Lineage: Eukaryota; Viridiplantae; Streptophyta; Magnoliopsida; Poales; Poaceae.